CAGCCGCCGCGGGAAUACGUAGGGUGCAAGCGUUAAUCGGGAUUACUGGGCGUAAAGCGUGCGCAGGCGGUUUUGUAAGACAGAGGUGAAAUCCCCGGGCUCAACCUGGGAACUGCCUUUGUGACUGCAAGGCUAGAGUACGGCAGAGGGGGAUGGAAUUCCGCGUGUAGCAGUGAAAUGCGUAGAUAUGCGGAGGAACACCGAUGGCGAAGGCAAUCCCCUUGGCCUGUACUGACGCUCAUGCACGAAAGCGUGGGGAGCAAACAGGAUUAGAUACCCCAGUAGUCCCUGUCUCUUAUAC
RNAcentral lists this ribosomal RNA (301 nucleotides) under uncultured bacterium. RNAcentral's name for it is "partial 16S ribosomal RNA". It matches the Rfam family "Bacterial small subunit ribosomal RNA", at positions 509 to 807 of the family's 1533-position model. The record is from RNAcentral.